GUUACGGCGGUUAUGGCGGGAAGGAAACACCCGGUUACAUUCCGAACCCGGAAGUUAAGCUUCCCAGCGCCGAUGGUACUGCACUCGGGAGGGUGUGGGAGAGUAGGUCACCGCCGGACAAU
Molecule: ribosomal RNA, 122 nt
Filed under: [Actinomadura] parvosata subsp. kistnae
Lineage: Bacteria; Bacillati; Actinomycetota; Actinomycetes; Streptosporangiales; Streptosporangiaceae
Source: RNAcentral